CCGCAUAAGACCACAAGGCCGCAUGACCAAGGGGUCAAAGGAGCAAUCCGGUAUAGGACGGGUUCGCGUCCCAUUAGCUAGUAGGCGGGGUAAAGGCCCACCUAGGCAACGAUGGGUAGCCGAGCUGAGAGGCUGAACGGCCACACUGGGACUGAGAUACGGCCCAGACUCCUACGGGAGGCAGCAGGGGGGAAUAUUGGGCAAUGGGGGAAACCCUGACCCAGCAACGCCGCGUGAAGGAAGAAGGCCUUCGGGUUGUAAACUUCUGUGACAGGGGACGAAGGAAGUGACGGUACCCUGAGAGGAAGCUCCGGCAAACUACGUGCCAGCAGCCGCGGUAAUACGUAGGGAGCGAGCGUUGUCCGGAAUUACUGGGCGUAAAGGGCGCGUAGGCGGUAGAUCAAGUCGCAUGUGAAAUACCCGGGCUCAACCUGGGGGGUGCAUGCGAAACUGGAAUACUUGAGUGCGGUAGAGGAAAGUGGAAUUCCUAGUGUAGCGGUGAAAUGCGUAGAUAUUAGGAGGAACACCAGUGGCGAAGGCGACUUUCUGGGCCGUAACUGACGCUGAGGCGCGAAAGCGUGGGGAGCAAACAGGAUUAGAUACCCUGGUAGUCCACGCCGU
RNAcentral lists this ribosomal RNA (621 nucleotides) under uncultured bacterium. RNAcentral describes it as "bacterial SSU rRNA". It matches the Rfam family "Bacterial small subunit ribosomal RNA", at positions 169 to 803 of the family's 1533-position model. The record is from RNAcentral.